UCCUACGGGAGGCAGCAGUGGGGAAUAUUGGACAAUGGACCAAGAGUCUGAUCCAGCAAUUCUGUGUGCACGAUGAAGUUUUUCGGAAUGUAAAGUGCUUUCAGUUGGGAAGAAAAAAAUGACGGUACCAACAGAAGAAGUGACGGCUAAAUACGUGCCAGCAGCCGCGGUAAUACGUAUGUCACAAGCGUUAUCCGGAUUUAUUGGGCGUAAAGCGCGUCUAGGUGGUUAUGUAAGUCUGAUGUGAAAAUGCAGGGCUCAACUCUGUAUUGCGUUGGAAACUGUGUAACUAGAGUACUGGAGAGGUAAGCGGAACUACAAGUGUAGAGGUGAAAUUCGUAGAUAUUUGUAGGAAUGCCGAUGGGGAAGCCAGCUUACUGGACAGAUACUGACGCUGAAGCGCGAAAGCGUGGGUAGCAAACAGGAUUAGAUACCCUGGUAGUCCACGCCGUAAACGAUGAUUACUAGGUGUUGGGGGUCGAACCUCAGCGCCCAAGCAAACGCGAUAAGUAAUCCGCCUGGGGAGUACGUACGCAAGUAUGAAACUCAAAGGAAUUGACGGGGGCCCGCACAAG
RNAcentral lists this ribosomal RNA (575 nucleotides) under uncultured bacterium. RNAcentral describes it as "bacterial SSU rRNA". It matches the Rfam family "Bacterial small subunit ribosomal RNA", at positions 337 to 929 of the family's 1533-position model. The record is from RNAcentral.